AUGGGCUGCACCGGCCCCAAUCCAGUUAAACUAGUACCAGUUUCAUGGAGAAAUGAAAUUGUUCUACCACCUUCAGCAGAUCUUGACACCAUGAAGGCCCUGCUUGACAAGCUCGUGGUGCUCAAGCUCAACGGAGGCCUCGGCACCACCAUGGGCUACACAGGCCCUAAGUUAUUUGCAUCUUGA
This 186-nucleotide ribosomal RNA is filed under the name Triticum aestivum (bread wheat). Its description in RNAcentral is "partial small subunit ribosomal RNA". The record is from RNAcentral. Lineage: Eukaryota; Viridiplantae; Streptophyta; Magnoliopsida; Poales; Poaceae.